This 458-nucleotide ribosomal RNA is filed under the name uncultured Thiobacillus sp. Its description in RNAcentral is "bacterial SSU rRNA". It matches the Rfam family "Bacterial small subunit ribosomal RNA", at positions 919 to 1382 of the family's 1533-position model. Lineage: Bacteria; Pseudomonadati; Pseudomonadota; Betaproteobacteria; Nitrosomonadales; Thiobacillaceae. The record is from RNAcentral.
ACCCGCACAAGCGUGGAUGAUGUGGAUUAAUUCGAUGCAACGCGAAGAACCUUACCUACCCUUGACAUGUCCGGAACUUGCCAGAGAUGGCUUGGUGCCCGAAAGGGAAUCGGAACACAGGUGCUGCAUGGCUGUCGUCAGCUCGUGUCGUGAGAUGUUGGGUUAAGUCCCGCAACGAGCGCAACCCUUAUCAUUAGUUGCUACGCAAGGGCACUCUAAUGAGACUGCCGGUGACAAACCGGAGGAAGGUGGGGAUGACGUCAAGUCCUCAUGGCCCUUAUGGGUAGGGCUUCACACGUCAUACAAUGGUCGGUACAGAGGGUUGCCAAGCCGCGAGGCGGAGCCAAUCCCACAAAGCCGAUCGUAGUCCGGAUUGUUCUCUGCAGCUCGAGAGCAUGAAGUCGGAAUCGCUAGUAAUCGCAGGUCAGCAUACUGCGGUGAAUACGUUCCCGGGUCUU